Long non-coding RNA from Solanum stenotomum, 763 nucleotides. RefSeq lists it as uncharacterized. The transcript has 4 exons. NCBI's taxonomy places the organism in Eukaryota, Viridiplantae, Streptophyta, Magnoliopsida, Solanales, Solanaceae. The record is from RefSeq and is a predicted model, not a curated record.
UGUCAAGUAAGGGUUCCCAGGAACAAGUAGCUUUUGCUCAAAUUCUAUAAAUGUAUUCACUAAAUAUUUGACUAUGAACCUAUUUAUUAUUGUUUAUUAACUUGAAAUCGUUGUACGGACCCAUAAACUUUAAAUUUAUAUCCUCUCUGAUUUUUUGUUGAAGCUGAUUGAUCUGGAUACCCUACUGUGCAUUGAUACAAAAUUCAUCAGCUUCAUCUUUACAGCCUUAUUGAUGCUUUGAGUUUCUCCCUUGGUGACUCAAAUUCAAAAUCUUAGGGUUAGAGGACUCAGGAGUGGAUGAGAACAAGCCAACAAGUAUGCAGGCCCUGAAGGCAGGGGAAGAUUCAGAGAUAGGCUACUGAGCAUGAGAACUACUGCAGCCAUGGUUGGUCUAUCAGAAAUAUUUUCUUGAACGCACAGUAACGCUAUAUGAACGCAUCUCAUUAUGUCCCGAACCACCAGUCCUGAGCUUCCCCUCAACAUGGGGUCUAUCAAAUUUGUAGUUGUUUCUUCGCACCAGUUCAUCCAAGCCUGUCACAUUUUAAUACAGAGUUUGAACUCUUACAUCGACAAUGUAAAGAAUUUGAUGCAUAAGGAUGGUCUCCCAACUAGUUCGGCAUUCAGGGGUAGUUGAUUAAUUAACUUGGUUACUUACAUAGCUUAGAAGGUCUUCCACAGAUUCUCCAUUUCUGAAACAAGUGUUUUUUUGGCCACUUAUAAUUUCAAGGACUAGUACUCCAAAGCUAAAAACAUCUGAUUUCAC